CCUACGGGUGGCUGCAGUGGGGAAUAUUGCGCAAUGGGGGAAACCCUGACGCAGCAACGCCGCGUGAGUGAAGAAGGCUUUCGAGUCGUAAAACUCUGUCUUCAGGGAAGAAAAAAUGACGGUACCUGAGGAGGAAGCCCCGGCUAACUACGUGCCAGCAGCCGCGGUAAUACGUAGGGGGCAAGCGUUGUCCGGAAUCACUGGGCGUAAAGGGCGCGUAGGCGGUAUAUUAAGUCAGGUGUGAAAGUUUUCGGCUCAACCGGAAAAGUGCACUUGAAACUAAUUUACUUGAGUACUGGAGAGGUAAGCGGAAUUCCUAGUGUAGCGGUGAAAUGCGUAGAUAUUAGGAAGAACACCGGUGGCGAAGGCGGCUUACUGGACAGAGACUGACGCUGAGGCGCGAAAGCGUGGGGAGCAAACAGGAUUAGAUACCCCAGUAGUC
This 442-nucleotide ribosomal RNA is filed under the name uncultured Eubacteriaceae bacterium. Its description in RNAcentral is "bacterial SSU rRNA". It matches the Rfam family "Bacterial small subunit ribosomal RNA", at positions 338 to 795 of the family's 1533-position model. Lineage: Bacteria; Bacillati; Bacillota; Clostridia; Eubacteriales; Eubacteriaceae. The record is from RNAcentral.